RNAcentral lists this ribosomal RNA (783 nucleotides) under uncultured bacterium. RNAcentral's name for it is "bacterial SSU rRNA". It matches the Rfam family "Bacterial small subunit ribosomal RNA", at positions 59 to 846 of the family's 1533-position model. The record is from RNAcentral.
CAGUCGAACGAAGCACUCAGGAGCGAUUUCGGUCAAUCCUGUUUGACUGAGCGGUUGACGGGUGAGUAACGCGUGAGGAACCUGCCUUGCAGUGGGGAAUAACAGUUGGAAACGACUGCUAAUACCGCAUAAUGCAGAGAGACCGCAUGAUCUUUCUGCCAAAGAUUUAUCGCUGUAAGAUGGCCUCGCGUCUGAUUAGCUAGUUGGUGGGGUAACGGCCUACCAAGGCGACGAUCAGUAGCCGGACUGAGAGGUUGACCGGCCACAUUGGGACUGAGACACGGCCCAGACUCCUACGGGAGGCAGCAGUGGGGAAUAUUGGGCAAUGGGCGCAAGCCUGACCCAGCAACGCCGCGUGAAGGAAGAAGGCUUUCGGGUUGUAAACUUCUUUUAAGUGGGACGAUAAUGACGGUACCACUUGAAUAAGCUCCGGCUAACUACGUGCCAGCAGCCGCGGUAAUACGUAGGGAGCAAGCGUUAUCCGGAUUUACUGGGUGUAAAGGGCGUGUAGGCGGGACAGCAAGUCAGAUGUGAAAACUAUGGGCUCAACCCAUAGCCUGCAUUUGAAACUGUUGUUCUUGAGUGCUGGAGAGGCAAAUGGAACUCCUAGUGUAGCGGUGAAAUGCGUAGAUAUUAGGAAGAACACCAGUGGCGAAGGCGAUUUGCUGGACAGUAACUGACGCUGAUGCGCGAAAGUGUGGGGAGCAAACAGGAUUAGAUACCCCGGUAGUCCACACCGUAAACGAUGGAUACUAGGUGUGGGGGGUCUGACCCCCUCCGUGC